AUACGGAGGGUGCGAGCGUUAAUCGGAAUUACUGGGCGUAAAGCGUACGUAGGCGGUUGGUUAAGUUAGAUGUGAAAGCCCCGGGCUUAACCUGGAAACUGCGUUUAAAACUGGCGAACUAGAGUUGAGUAGAGGGGAGUGGAAUUUCAGGUGUAGCGGUGAAAUGCGUAGAGAUCUGAAGGAACACCAGUGGCGAAGGCGACUCCCUGGACUCGAACUGACGCUGAGGUACGAAAGCGUGGGUAGCAAACGGGAUUAGAAACCCUAGUAGGUCC
Molecule: ribosomal RNA, 275 nt
Filed under: uncultured bacterium
Lineage: Bacteria
Description: partial 16S ribosomal RNA
Rfam family: Bacterial small subunit ribosomal RNA
Source: RNAcentral